Molecule: long non-coding RNA, 395 nt
Organism: Lepidothrix coronata (blue-crowned manakin)
Lineage: Eukaryota; Metazoa; Chordata; Aves; Passeriformes; Pipridae
Exons: 3
Source: RefSeq, a predicted model, not a curated record
AUUCCAGUCUCCCGCCAAGUUUCCUGCUCAAUCUUCUCCAGCAAACUGUUUGGAGAUGGAAAGACAGCAGCUCAGUGCUUUGACUCUCCCUGGCCCUGCAGACAGAGGAGCAGAAGGUGGCAGAGCUUACAGCAGGCUGAAGAGUUCCCUGUAGUUCUCAUCACCUUUUCCUUCGGACACCAGGCUGUCCAGCUUAUCAAUCAACUCAGCUUCCACCUGGAGGAAGAGGGAUCAAAUCAAUCACUCAGACACACUUCCAAUGAACCUCAGCUGCCAAAUUGCAAAAGAAGCAAAGAUGAGAAGGAAAAGCAAUUCACCCAGUGGCACACAAAUGGAGUUGGUGCUCUUGCUGCUGAAAUCAUUAAAGGGAGACCUGACUUCAUCCCUGAAUCAGA